Molecule: ribosomal RNA, 449 nt
Filed under: uncultured bacterium
Lineage: Bacteria
Description: partial 16S ribosomal RNA
Rfam family: Bacterial small subunit ribosomal RNA
Source: RNAcentral
AAUGAACGCUGGCGGCAGGCCUAACACAUGCAAGUCGAACGGAUCCUUCGGGAUUAGUGGCGGACGGGUGAGUAACGCGUGGGAACAUACCCUUUGGUACGGAAUAGCCUCGGGAAACUGGGAGUAAUACCGUAUGUGGUCGAGAGACGAAAGAUUUAUCGCCAAAGGAUUGGCCCGCGUUGGAUUAGGUAGUUGGUGGGGUAAUGGCCUACCAAGCCGACGAUCCAUAGCUGGUUUGAGAGGAUGAUCAGCCACACUGGGACUGAGACACAGCCCAGACUCCUACGGGAGGCAGCAGUGGGGAAUCUUAGACAAUGGGGGAAACCCUGAUCUAGCCAUGCCGCGUGAUCGAUGAAGGCCUUAGGGUUGUAAAGCUCUUUUACCAGGGAUGAUAAUGACAGUACCUGGAGAAUAAGCUCCGGCUAACUCCGUGCCAGCCGCCGCAGUAA